GAACAAAGGCAACCACGGGACUGGAGUGGCUGCUGGGGAGAUCCGGCCUGCCGAGGGACGGGGAUCUUGGAACCUUAGCGCUGCUGACUGGAGCAAGAGGGAUAGCAGAGAGAAGGGCUUCAGGGCACAGACAGCAGAGCCACGAUCACAAUGGAACCUGUGAGCAGCAGCGGAACUGAGCUCAGAGCCUCUCACACUCGUAAGAUUAUACCAGCUGUUCCUAAGGCUCAUUCCUGGCUCUGCACUCAGGGAUCACUUCUAGAAGGCUCCAGAGAUCAUAUGGGGUGUCAGGGAUCAAACCUAGUUGGCCAAUUGCAAGGCAAGUGCCCUUCCAGUAUCUCAUCUCUACAAUUUCUCAGUGCUCACUUUUAUCUUAACUUCGUUUAAAAUUUUUGAUGAUACUAUGGAAUACAAUUUUUUCUAAAUAUUUACCUAUUUUAAACUCUACUGGUUUGAGAAAUGCCCAUCCAUUAUUUUGCUUCUAUAGAAUAUUUUAUUGUGUCAAUAUACAGUAUUAUUCAUUUUUAAAUAGAGGAAUUCUGAUGAAUAUACAAUAUUUCCUAAUUAAAUGAUUAACCUUUCAUUAUCACUCCUGUUGCAGUCCUGUGAAAAGCUCUGU
Long non-coding RNA from Sorex fumeus (smoky shrew), 619 nucleotides. RefSeq lists it as uncharacterized. The transcript has 3 exons. NCBI's taxonomy places the organism in Eukaryota, Metazoa, Chordata, Mammalia, Eulipotyphla, Soricidae. The record is from RefSeq and is a predicted model, not a curated record.